RNAcentral lists this non-coding RNA (92 nucleotides) under Paraburkholderia bryophila. Lineage: Bacteria; Pseudomonadati; Pseudomonadota; Betaproteobacteria; Burkholderiales; Burkholderiaceae. The record is from RNAcentral.
UCCAAUGGGCGGGCGAUGGUGGGAGAGCCGCAAAGCUCGCCGGUCAGUUUGUGUCCCGGUCUUCCAAUCCCGCUACACGCCCGCUCACCCGC